AUGCCUUGGCACUAAGAGCCGAUGAAGG
Molecule: ribosomal RNA, 28 nt
Filed under: Coneflower phyllody phytoplasma
Lineage: Bacteria; Bacillati; Mycoplasmatota; Mollicutes; Acholeplasmatales; Acholeplasmataceae
Description: partial 23S ribosomal RNA
Source: RNAcentral